AAUUGCCAGAGAAAACGCUACAGUCGGUAAUAGCCAAGUGUGAUGCAGAUAAACAUGGAAACUUGGAAGCUACAUGAUGAAGAUGGCAUAGCCUGAAGGCAAAAGGAUCCUGGAUCUUUGAAUCACAACUUGGAAAAGGACUGGCCAACGUUUAGGGACACCUCUUUUAGACUUUAUGUGCAAGUGUUUGAAUCUGCCCUUUGGAACUUAUGGAAGGUCAUGGAGGCUGGAAUCUAUUCCCUACAAGAAACACAGGGUAUGAAAAGUCUUCUGUGCCAAGGAGCCCCACAGGUUCCUGCUUGGUGUCACCAUGAACAAUAUCCUUCACAGAGAUCAGUAUCUCCCACUGGUUUCCCAUCCUACUUCAAAUCUGAAGCAUACAGUCUCGAGUGAGAAAACAUCAGGGAAUGUAAAUAAUGAAAGAUAUGAGUCAUCAAGCAAUGGAAAAUAUGAAGCAAGAAGAAGAAAGAGAAGACAUUAAUCAAAAAGUGUAAAGAACAUGAAGGACAAUGAAAGGAUAAAGGCAAAGUUAAAUUCUUGGUAGUAAUACAGACUAGCAGGCAAAGGACCACCAACUGCCUUUAUUAAUUUAAAAAACAAGCAGAUCUUAGUCCUGUUAGUUCUGUAGUUUUGACCUUUAAUGUCUUCUUUUUUAGGUUUAUGAGUAGGCUGAAUCAUGAAAAAUGCCUAAUUUAAAAUUGACUUAGCUGCCAAUCACCUCUCCUGUGAGAAUCAGCUGCCAACUGAACUCUAAAACAAAUAAAAAUACUUGGAUUAAUC
Molecule: non-coding RNA, 780 nt
Organism: Kogia breviceps (pygmy sperm whale)
Lineage: Eukaryota; Metazoa; Chordata; Mammalia; Artiodactyla; Physeteridae
Source: RefSeq, a predicted model, not a curated record